This is a long non-coding RNA of Drosophila hydei, 1041 nucleotides long. RefSeq lists it as uncharacterized. The transcript has 3 exons. Lineage: Eukaryota; Metazoa; Arthropoda; Insecta; Diptera; Drosophilidae. The record is from RefSeq and is a predicted model, not a curated record.
GUUAAGCCAAAUUAAAGUAAGCCAAGAGCUAUCGAGCUACUGUGCACACAUGUUUAGAUAUAGCUGUUGCCUAAGUAUUCAAAGCUUCAUCUAAAUGAAUUUCCUUAAUGAUGUUCAGCUCUACAUGUAAUAUGAAGUAAGAGUUCAUUGCAAGCAACGUCGAGCUGAGCAUUUCAGCUGCUGCUCAAAACCCCCUCAGCUCAGCUUAUAGUUUUUUCAGAGCACCGCAAAUUCUGGCAUUCGGCUAUUAAAGCCACUAUUUGUCUGCCAACAUUUUGAUUGAUUUAUGAUGAGCCAGCGAGAGAUUUGAGAGAUUUCUGACUCUUGCUGACUGCUUCUGACUCUUUGACCACCCUGUCUGCCUGCGUUGGCGUCAUCCACAAAAAGAAAAGCCAAAAAAUCAUCAGCUGAACAUUCACUUUUAUACGCUCGACUCUUUCACUCAACUAUAGCUAUGUUUUGCAGCUGUAUGUGUGGCUGUAGCUGUAUCUGUAUCUGUAUCUGUAUGCAUAACUCGCAAACGAUUGCUUACAAGUGCAGAGCUCCCCCAUGGCCCCUCUUUAUGCCCCUGGGGCGCCAUUGCGACUUAUUGGCUGCAUUAUGAUUGCAACGGAUCGACGGCACCGGAGAAGCCAGACACAGAUUUACGUAUAUAUACAGUAUAUAUAUAUAUACAAGGCACUCGAUCCCUGCAGCAGCCAGACAUUUGUUGACUUAUUUAUGACUGCUUAAUGCCUUUUUGGUUGUCUGUGAAAAACUAUUUUAUGGCACAGAUUUGAUUGGCUUUGUUGCUGACUCAUUGAAAAUUUGAGAGAGCGAAAGGAGCGGGAGUAUGAACUAUAUAUCCUAAUCAAGAUCUAGAGCAAAUAAGCUGCUCUAAGAGUCUCAAAGACCAUGAAAUAUUCAACAAAUUAGUAAAGUGUGAAAUAUUUAUGAAACCAUUUGGCCAACUGUGAAAAAGAGCGCAGAAAACCGAGCUAAAAUUGUUUCUAAAUUUAGUUUGUAAAAAAAUUAAAUGAAAAUUGAAUAAACUCUUGUAAA